This is a long non-coding RNA of Sander lucioperca (pikeperch), 197 nucleotides long. RefSeq lists it as uncharacterized. The record is from RefSeq and is a predicted model, not a curated record. The transcript has 3 exons. Lineage: Eukaryota; Metazoa; Chordata; Actinopteri; Perciformes; Percidae.
GGAGAAAGAGAGGGACCUUAGUCUUAUAUGAUUUAACAUGAAUUAGGAGGAGACAGUGUUGAGAUUUUUAAUAACAUGUAACUGUCUGUAUGGAUCAUAGUAUUAAGGUUACAUAUAAUAGCCUAUUUGGGCUCUGGGUAAUCAGGUAUUUUAUCUGCUGAACUAUAACAUUUGACAAACCAACCAGAUUCAAUUAA